UGUGUAACGAGCUCAGAAUUAAGUUUCAUAUCAAUGUCCAUCAUAUCACAGAGGUGGAAGACAAACAUUCUGGUAUCUGAAGGGUAAGAGUCAAACCGGGUAUGGACGCCAAAUGUUGUAAAUCCAAUUCCCCUUAAUUGUGAGAGAACCUCCAUCUGCAUAACUUAUUCUCGUUAUCUACAUCACAACGUUUAUUUGUCUCGCCAUACGGUUCUAGUUAGAUAAAUAUGACAUUAUUCAUCAUUAAUUAUUCAUCACACUUUAACUGGGUAUAGCCCGGGGUCUCAGUUGGAUUGACGCGGCCACGUUACCUGUUGAAAUAAUGAGCCUUGCGAUCGUACCAAGACUGCUUCCUGACACUGUUUGCUAUUUGCAUACAGGUAUCUUAUAUUUGAUCAACAGUUUGUCACUCGCUGUCACUAAACUCAGGGGAGAAACAGAUAUUGUUUCAAUCGAUUUGGCUAAUAAUGUCGUUCAAUAUUGGUGUACAUAUUACCCGUAAACGUAAGAUACAAUCUAACUCGAAAGCGAUACAAGAGAGAAAGGUGGGAGGACUUUGGAAGGUGUAGCCCCGUAUAGGGAGCUUUCAUCCGUCCACGUAGUCGGAUAUAUGUAGCUGUUCACACUGCCUGGUUAGGAGGCUGCCUGACAUCCUACUUCCCCUUGUAUAUACAUACGUUCCAUGUCGUGUGACAUAUGUAGAUGUCUUAUGUUCAUACUGCCUGUUAUAUGAGAUGUGCAACGCUCAGGUAGACUGGUAUAUAGGUAUGGGGUAGACGCUUAGGUAGACUGGUAUAUAGGUAUGGGGUAGACGCUCAGGUAGACUGGUAUAUAGGUAUGGGGUAGACGCUCAGGUAGACUGGUAUAUAGGUAUGGGGUAGACGCUCAGGUAGACUGGUAUAUAGGUAUGGGGUAGACGCUCAGGUAGACUGGUAUAUAGGUAUGGGGUAGACGCUCAGGUAGACUGGUAUAUAGGUAUGGGGUAGACGCUCAGGUAGACUGGUAUAUAGGUAUGGG
Molecule: long non-coding RNA, 1017 nt
Organism: Haliotis rubra (blacklip abalone)
Lineage: Eukaryota; Metazoa; Mollusca; Gastropoda; Lepetellida; Haliotidae
Exons: 3
Source: RefSeq, a predicted model, not a curated record